UACGUAGGGUGCAAGCGUUAAUCGGAAUUACUGGGCGUAAAGGGCUCGUAGGCGGCCAACUAAGUCAAACGUGAAAUCCCCGGGCUCAACCUGGGAAUGGCAUUGGAUACUGGCUCGCUAGAGUACGGUAGAGGGUGGUGGAAUUCCCGGUGUAGCAGUGAAAUGCGUAGAGAUCGGGAGGAACAUCUGUGGCGAAGGCGGCCACCUGGACCAGUACUGACACUGAGGCACGAAAGCGUGGGGAGCAAACAGG
RNAcentral lists this ribosomal RNA (253 nucleotides) under uncultured prokaryote. Its description in RNAcentral is "partial 16S ribosomal RNA". It matches the Rfam family "Bacterial small subunit ribosomal RNA", at positions 524 to 776 of the family's 1533-position model. The record is from RNAcentral.